This 292-nucleotide ribosomal RNA is filed under the name uncultured bacterium. RNAcentral's name for it is "partial 16S ribosomal RNA". It matches the Rfam family "Bacterial small subunit ribosomal RNA", at positions 505 to 796 of the family's 1533-position model. The record is from RNAcentral.
GUGUCAGCAGCCGCGGUAAUACAGAGGUGGCAAGCGUUGUUCGGAAUUACUGGGCGUAAAGGGCGCGUAGGCGGCCUUAUAAGUCUCGUGUGAAAGCCCUCGGCUUAACUGAGGAUCUGCACGGGAUACUGUAGGGCUCGAGUUCGGGAGAGGAAAGCGGAAUUCCGGGUGUAGCGGUGAAAUGCGUAGAUAUCCGGAGGAACACCAGUGGCGAAGGCGGCUUUCUGGACCGACACUGACGCUGAGGCGCGAAAGCUAGGGGAGCAAACGGGAUUAGAUACCCCUGUAGUCC